GCGUCCUUAGUUCAGUUGGUAGAACGCAGGUCUCCAAAAUCUGGUGUCGAGGGUUCGAGUCCUUCAGGGCGUG
Molecule: transfer RNA, 73 nt
Filed under: Synura sphagnicola
Lineage: Eukaryota; Synurophyceae; Synurales; Mallomonadaceae
Description: tRNA-Trp
Rfam family: tRNA
About the family: Transfer RNA (tRNA) molecules are approximately 80 nucleotides in length. Their secondary structure includes four short double-helical elements and three loops (D, anti-codon, and T loops). Further hydrogen bonds mediate the characteristic L-shaped molecular structure. tRNAs have two regions of fundamental functional importance: the anti-codon, which is responsible for specific mRNA codon recognition, and the 3' end, to which the tRNAs corresponding amino acid is attached (by aminoacyl-tRNA synthetases). tRNAs cope with the degeneracy of the genetic code in two manners: having more than one tRNA (with a specific anti-codon) for a particular amino acid; and 'wobble' base-pairing, i.e. permitting non-standard base-pairing at the 3rd anti-codon position.
Source: RNAcentral